CCGGAAAGAGGAGUGGCGAACGGGUGAGUAACACGUGGGUAACCUGCCCAUCAGAAGGGGAUAACACUUGGAAACAGGUGCUAAUACCGUAUAACAAUCGAAACCGCAUGGUUUUGAUUUGAAAGGCGCUUUCGGGUGUCGCUGAUGGAUGGACCCGCGGUGCAUUAGCUAGUUGGUGAGGUAACGGCUCACCAAGGCCACGAUGCAUAGCCGACCUGAGAGGGUGAUCGGCCACAUUGGGACUGAGACACGGCCCAAACUCCUACGGGAGGCAGCAGUAGGGAAUCUUCGGCAAUGGACGAAAGUCUGACCGAGCAACGCCGCGUGAGUGAAGAAGGUUUUCGGAUCGUAAAACUCUGUUGUUAGAGAAGAACAAGGAUGAGAGUAACUGUUCAUCCCUUGACGGUAUCUAACCAGAAAGCCACGGCUAACUACGUGCCAGCAGCCGCGGUAAUACGUAGGUGGCAAGCGUUGUCUGGAUUUAUUGGGCGUAAAGCGAGCGCAGGCGGUUUCUUAAGUCUGAUGUGAAAUCCCCCGGCUCAUCCGGGGAGGGUCAUUGGAAUCUGGGAGACUUGAGUGCAGAAGAGGCGAGUGGAUUUCCAUGUGUAGCGGUGAAAUCCGUAGAUAUAUGGAGGAACACCAGUGGCGAAGGCGGCUCUCUGGUCUGUAACUGUCGCUGAGGCUUGAAAGCGUGGGGAGCAAACAGGAUUAGAUACCCUGGUAGUCCACGCCGUAAACGAUGAGUGCUAAGUGUUGGAGGGUUUCCGCCCUUCAGUGCUGCAGCUAACGCAUUAAGCACUCCGCCUGGGGAGUACGUCCGCAAGGUUGAAACUCAAAGGAAUUGACGGGGGCCCGCACAAGCGGUGGAGCAUGUGGUUUAAUUUGAAGCAACGCGAAGUACCUUACCAGGUCUUGACAUCCUUUGCCCACUCUAGAGAUAGAGCUUCCCCUUCGGGGGCAAAGUGACAGGUGGCGCAUGGUUGUCGUCAGCUCGUGUCGUGAGAUGUUGGGUUAAGUCCCGCUACGAGCGCAACCCUUAUUGUUAGUUGCCAUCAUUCAGUUGGGCACUCUAGCAAGACUGCCGGUGACAAUCCGGAGGAAGGUGGGGAUGACGUCAAAUCAUCAUGCCCCUUAUGACCUGGGCUACACACGUGCUACAAUGGGAAGUACAACGAGUUGCGAAGUCGCGAGCAUAAGCUAAUCUCUUUUUCUUCUUUCAGUUCGGAUUGCAGGCUGCAACUCGCCUGCAUGAAGCCGGAAUCGCUAUAUCGCGAUCAG
This 1278-nucleotide ribosomal RNA is filed under the name Enterococcus faecium. Its description in RNAcentral is "bacterial SSU rRNA". It matches the Rfam family "Bacterial small subunit ribosomal RNA", at positions 83 to 1352 of the family's 1533-position model. The record is from RNAcentral. Lineage: Bacteria; Bacillati; Bacillota; Bacilli; Lactobacillales; Enterococcaceae.